This is a transfer RNA of Thielaviopsis punctulata, 85 nucleotides long. It matches the Rfam family "tRNA". From Rfam's summary of the family: Transfer RNA (tRNA) molecules are approximately 80 nucleotides in length. Their secondary structure includes four short double-helical elements and three loops (D, anti-codon, and T loops). Further hydrogen bonds mediate the characteristic L-shaped molecular structure. tRNAs have two regions of fundamental functional importance: the anti-codon, which is responsible for specific mRNA codon recognition, and the 3' end, to which the tRNAs corresponding amino acid is attached (by aminoacyl-tRNA synthetases). tRNAs cope with the degeneracy of the genetic code in two manners: having more than one tRNA (with a specific anti-codon) for a particular amino acid; and 'wobble' base-pairing, i.e. permitting non-standard base-pairing at the 3rd anti-codon position. NCBI's taxonomy places the organism in Eukaryota, Fungi, Ascomycota, Sordariomycetes, Microascales, Ceratocystidaceae. The record is from Rfam.
AGAGAUUUGGCCGAGUGGUUUAAGGCGACUAGCUUGAAACUAGUUAUGGUAAACCCCAUCAUGGGUUCGAAUCCCAUAUUCUCUG